RNAcentral lists this transfer RNA (73 nucleotides) under Camelus bactrianus (Bactrian camel). It matches the Rfam family "tRNA". Rfam says of the family: Transfer RNA (tRNA) molecules are approximately 80 nucleotides in length. Their secondary structure includes four short double-helical elements and three loops (D, anti-codon, and T loops). The record is from Rfam by way of RNAcentral. Lineage: Eukaryota; Metazoa; Chordata; Mammalia; Artiodactyla; Camelidae. RNAcentral also lists the same sequence under 2 other names.
GAAGGUAUAGCUCAAGUGGUAGAGUGCAUGCUUAGCAUGCAUGAGGUCCUGGGUUCAAUCCCCAGUACUUCCU